Molecule: ribosomal RNA, 254 nt
Filed under: uncultured bacterium
Lineage: Bacteria
Description: partial 16S ribosomal RNA
Rfam family: Bacterial small subunit ribosomal RNA
Source: RNAcentral
UACGUAGGGUGCAAGCGUUAAUCGGAAUUACUGGGCGUAAAGCGUGCGCAGGCGGCUUUGCAAGACAGAUGUGAAAUCCCCGGGCUUAACCUGGGAACUGCAUUUGUGACUGCAUGGCUGGAGUGCGGCAGAGGGGGAUGGAAUUCCGCGUGUAGCAGUGAAAUGCGUAGAGUAUGCGGAGGAACACCGAUGGCGAAGGCAGCCCCCUGGGUCAAGAUUGACGCUCAUGCACGAAAGCGUGGGGAGCAAACAGG